AUGAGAGCGCUCGCGGUGGUAGCCAUGCUAGCCACGGCGGCCAUGGCUAUCGCAUGUGCACGCGCUGCACAGUGCGGCUCGCAGGCUGGCGGGGCGACCUGCCCAAACUGCCUCUGCUGCAGCCAGUUUGGCUGGUGUGGCUCCACACCGGAAUACUGCGGCGAUGGUUGCCAGAGCCAUUGCUCUGGCUGCGGUAGCACGCCUGUCACGCCCUACCCCUUCGGUGGUGUGUCCUCCAUCGUCUCGCCCUCCCUUUUUAACCAAAUUCUCCUCCACCGUAAUGACCCAGCAUGCCAGGCCAAGGGCUUCUACACCUAUGAUGCCUUCAUCGCUGCCGCCACUGCCUUCCCUGGCUUUGGCACCACUGGUAGCAUCGCCAUCCGGAAGCGCGAGAUAGCUGCCUUCCUAGCGCAGACCUCCCAUGAGACCACUGGCGGCUACUGCACCCCAAGCGAGCAGUGGCCAUGCGCCCCUGGAAGGCUCUACUAUGGCCGCGGGCCCAUCCAGCUAACUCACAACUACAACUACGGGCAGGCAGGCCGGGCCAUUGGGGCCGACCUGUUGGGCAACCCGAACUUGGUGGUCGUGAACCCAACCGUGUCGUUUGAGACGGCAAUGUGGUUCUGGAUGACGGAGCAACCGCCCAAGCCUUCGAGCCAUGCAGUGAUCACAGGACAAUGGAACCCGUCGGCGACGGACCGUGCUGCAGGGCGAGUGCCUGGGUUCGGCGUGAUCACCAACAUCAUCAAUGGCGGGAUGGAGUGCUUUCACGGGUAUGAUGAACGUGUUCAGGACCGAAUCGGAUUUUACAAACGCUACUGCAAAAUCUUUGGUAUCAGCUACGGUGACAACCUGGACUGCUACAAACAGAGGCCCUUUGCUUAA
RNAcentral lists this ribosomal RNA (885 nucleotides) under Triticum aestivum (bread wheat). RNAcentral describes it as "partial small subunit ribosomal RNA". The record is from RNAcentral. Lineage: Eukaryota; Viridiplantae; Streptophyta; Magnoliopsida; Poales; Poaceae.